RNAcentral lists this ribosomal RNA (492 nucleotides) under uncultured bacterium. RNAcentral describes it as "partial 16S ribosomal RNA". It matches the Rfam family "Bacterial small subunit ribosomal RNA", at positions 29 to 507 of the family's 1533-position model. The record is from RNAcentral.
AGUGAACGCUGGCGGUAGGCCUAACACAUGCAAGUCGAACGGCAGCACAGUAAGAGCUUGCUCUUACGGGUGGCGAGUGGCGGGCGGGUGAGGAAUACAUCGGAAUCUACUUUUUCGUGGGGGAUAACGUAGGGACACUUACGAUAAUACCGCAUACGACCUACGGGUGAAAGCAGUGGAUCUUCGGAGCUUGCGCGUUUGAUUGAGCCGAUGUCGGAUUAGCUAGUUGGCGAGGUAAAGGCCCACCAAGGCGACGAUCCGUAGCUGGUCUGAGAGGAUGAUCAGCCACACUGGAACUGAGACACGGUCCAGACUCCUACGGGAGGCAGCAGUGGGGAAUAUUGGACAAUGGGCGCAAGCCUGAUCCAGCCAUACCGCGUGGGUGAAGAAGGCCUUCGGGUUGUAAAGCCCUUUUGUUGGGAAAGAAAAGCAGCAGGUUAAUACCCCGCUGUUCUGACGGUACCCAAAGAAUAAGCACCGGCUAACUUCGUG